CGCUGCGGGAGGACACCGGAGAGCGCCGUUCACUGGGGGCGGCCCAGGCCCCCCAGCACAGCCCGAGCGUGGUCACCGCAACCUCUCAUGCCGCCCGCGGUCGCCCACUGCCCACUGCCCCAGCGGGAACCUGGGUAGGACCACAUGGAAGCUUACGUUCAGUUCCCAGUAAAACCUGGAAGCCUGAUGUGGUGGUGUGCACCUGUAAUCCUAGCAACUUGGGAGUACUAUGGCAGAAGGAUCGCAACAUGGACAACAUGCGAGAAGACCCUCACCAGAUGCCAGCACUUUGGUCUUGGAUUUCCC
Molecule: long non-coding RNA, 306 nt
Organism: Tupaia belangeri chinensis (Chinese tree shrew)
Lineage: Eukaryota; Metazoa; Chordata; Mammalia; Scandentia; Tupaiidae
Exons: 3
Source: RefSeq, a predicted model, not a curated record